This is a long non-coding RNA of Talpa occidentalis (Iberian mole), 747 nucleotides long. RefSeq lists it as uncharacterized. Lineage: Eukaryota; Metazoa; Chordata; Mammalia; Eulipotyphla; Talpidae. The record is from RefSeq and is a predicted model, not a curated record. The transcript has 5 exons.
GCCCAGCGCUUCCUGCGGGUUUAACCAUCUGUCAGCGUUAGAAAAGUGUAUUGUUUUGUUCCUCUCCCGUUUUAUCUGGACUUUCUGAAUUGACAAGCGUGAGAUGUGGAAAGACAAGGCAAAGGGCUGUUAAAGAACUGGUAUUUGGAGGAACGAUCUUUUCUUAAAGCACCUUCAUUUUGAUUCAGGAGGGCCAGCCAGCCAUGAAGACACAGACCUACACUUCAAUUCUCCAUGAUGUCUUUUCAAGCAACAGACUUUUAAGAAGCAUUAACCAUGUUCCAAGCAUUGGAGGUAGAGACAAGCAAGUUCCAGCCCUCAAGAAGAAUUUACCAGGGAAAUGGAGAAUCUGAGAACCCAGAAGUAUGAAGGCCUGUUCUUUGCAUAUUCAUUUAUGCCUGGUGACUCAGACAGAUAAAUACCUAGGAGUGGAAUUGCUGGAUCGUGUGGAAGCUCCAACUCUAGCAGGUUGAGGAAUCUACACAGAGGUUUCCAUAGUGAUUGGACCAGUUUGCACUCCUGAUGAGACUCAAGAAAAACAAAGAAAAUAAUCUAGUCAAAAAAUGGGCAGAAGAGCUAAAAAGAAACUUCUCCAAAGAAGAAAUGCAAAUGGCCAACAGGCAUAUGAAAAAAUGUACAACAUCACUUGUAAUCAGGGAAAUGCAAAUCAAAACUACCAUGAGAUACCAUCUUACACCAGUGAGAAUGGCACAUAUUAAAAAAAACUAGCAACAACAAAUGUUGGCA